GUUUGAUCCUGGCUCAGGAUGAACGCUAGCGACAGGCCUAACACAUGCAAGUCGAGGGGUAACAUGAGUGCUUGCACUUGAUGACGACCGGCGCACGGGUGCGUAACGCGUAUGCAACUUACCUUGUACUGGGGAAUAGCCCGUGGAAACGCGGAUUAAUGUCCCAUAACACUACAAUUUCGCAUGGAAAAGUGGUUAAAGUUCCGACGGUACAAGAUGGGCAUGCGUGACAUUAGCUAGUUGGUGAGGUAAUGGCUCACCAAGGCGACGAUGUCUAGGGGUUCUGAGGGGAAGGUCCCCCACACUGGUACUGAGACACGGACCAGACUCCUACGGGAGGCAGCAGUGAGGAAUAUUGGUCAAUGGGCGCAAGCCUGAACCAGCCAUGUCGCGUGCAGGAAGACUGCCCUACGGGUUGUAAACUGCUUUUGUAUGGGAAGAAACGUUGGUACGUGUACCAAUUUGCCGGUACCAUACGAAUAAGGAUCGGCUAACUCCGUGCCAGCAGCCGCGGUAAUACGGAGGAUCCAAGCGUUAUCCGGAUUUAUUGGGUUUAAAGGGUGCGUAGGCGGUAGAAUAAGUCAGUGGUGAAAUCCUGCAGCUUAACUGUAGAACUCCAUUGAUACUGUUUUACUUGAGUGUAAUUGAGGUAGGCGGAAUGUGUUGUGUAGCGGUGAAAUGCAUAGAUAUAACACAGAACACCGAUUGCGAAGGCAGCUUACUGAGUUAUAACUGACGCUGAUGCACGAAAGCGUGGGUAGCGAACAGGAUUAGAUACCCUGGUAGUCCACGCCGUAAACGAUGAUUACUCGCUGUAGGCAAUACACCGUCUGUGGCUGAGCGAAAGCAUUAAGUAAUCCACCUGGGGAGUACGUUGGCAACAAUGAAACUCAAAGGAAUUGACGGGGGCCCGCACAAGCGGAGGAACAUGUGGUUUAAUUCGAUGAUACGCGAGGAACCUUACCUGGACUUAAAUGUAGAUUGACGUAUCCAGAGAUGGAUAUUUCUUCGGACAAUUUACAAGGUGCUGCAUGGUUGUCGUCAGCUCGUGCCGUGAGGUGUCGGGUUAAGUCCCAUAACGAGCGCAACCCCUGUUGUUAGUUACCAGCACAUCAUGGUGGGGACUCUAACAAGACUGCCGGUGUAAACCGCGAGGAAGGUGGGGAUGACGUCAAAUCAGCACGGCCCUUACGUCCAGGGCUACACACGUGUUACAAUGGCCGGUACAGAGGGCAGCUACUUGGUGACAAGAUGCGAAUCUCAAAAACCGGUCUCAGUUCGGAUCGAAGUCUGCAACCCGACUUCGUGAAGCUGGAUUCGCUAGUAAUCGCAUAUCAGCCAUGAUGCGGUGAAUACGUUCCCGGGCCUUGUACACGC
Molecule: ribosomal RNA, 1377 nt
Filed under: metagenome
Description: bacterial SSU rRNA
Rfam family: Bacterial small subunit ribosomal RNA
Source: RNAcentral